Long non-coding RNA from Micropterus dolomieu (smallmouth bass), 1648 nucleotides. RefSeq lists it as uncharacterized. NCBI's taxonomy places the organism in Eukaryota, Metazoa, Chordata, Actinopteri, Centrarchiformes, Centrarchidae. The record is from RefSeq and is a predicted model, not a curated record. The transcript is spliced from 3 exons.
UCUGUCCCUGCUGUGGUUGGUGUUUGUGGUCUAGGAACCUCCUUUCCUCCUGCCUUGUGACCUUUUGGAUGUUGUAUCUUCAUGACCCAUCUCAGAGGUGGCGCAGCACUCCUGCAGGAUCACUUCAUCAGUAUAGUUCAGUUACAGCUGGGAGCUGCUAGACUGUCCCACGUGUCAGCACAGCGGUGGCGGUGAAUACCAGAGGAUCCCUGCAGGAAGAUGAACUUCCAGGCAGCUCACGCUUCUGUUUUCAGGGUGGGGUUGUAAGAAAAGCCUGCUAAAUUCUGGGAUUAUCAGAGUCAAGUUCCCAUCAGUCUGCCUCUGACAUCCACUCUGUCUUUUCUUCCAACAAUCGUCAGAAAAGUCCUAGUCUGAAGGUCUAGAUUAUUUUAGCAGUAGUAAAUCUCCUUCUUCUGACUCAGGAUUUAUGACUUGGAGAAAGCUUUUCAUUAAACUGUAUUUUUAGAAACAACUUCAUAUACUGACCUGUCUCUUUCUUAUUUUUCUUCUCUCAUAACUGCUUGUCUUCAUUCCCCCUCUCGAUCUGUCUUUGUAUCUUUAAUACCUCCUUCUCUAUUUCUCCCUUUUAUUUUCUCAUUCUUCGCUCAGAAUUCUUUGUUUGAAUGCUGCAGUUUCAUCAAUCUUCUAAUUAUCCGGGGACAGGUUGCACACUUUCCAGGUCCUCAUGGUGGAUCUCAAGGCGUUCUCAGUUCUGGGUCUACCCCAGGGUCUCCUCCCAGUUGGACAUGCCUGGAAAACCUCCAUAUGAAGGCACCCAGGAGGAAUCCUCAACUGGUUCCUUUAAGAAGGAGCAGCGGCUCAACGCCAAGCUCACUCCGGAUGUCCAAACUCCUCAACCUCUCUAAGGCUGAGCCCAGCCACUCUGAAAACUCAUUUCAGCCACUUGUAGCCGCAAUCUCAUUCUUUUGGUCAUUACCCACAGCUUAGGUGAAGGUUGGGACAUAUAUGGACGGGUAAAUGAGCCAUAGGUGUGAAAACGCGUGAUCACUAGCAGAGCUGAGUGUGACCAGUUUCUGGCAAGCGAAUAUUCUGAGGAGAAUCAUUAACUGCUAAAGUAAUUUUGUCCAUAGGUGAAGGUUGGGACGUAGAUGACUGGGUAAAUGGAAAGCUUUGCCUUCUGGCUCCAUUUUGCCGUCACUUGUGAACAAGAUCCCAAGAUACUUAAACUCCUUUACUUGGGGCAGCAAGUCACUCCCAACCGGCUGAAGCAAUCUACCAUUUUCCAGCAGAGAACCAUGGCCUUUGAGGUGCUGACCCUCACCCUUAGAGAGCGGUUGAAAGUCACGGUCGAUGAAGCCAACAGAACCACAACAUCUGCAGAAAGCAGAGAUGCAAUUCGGAGGUUCCCAAAAUGGACACUCCUCACCACAGCUGCACCAUGAGAACCAGUCCAACACCCACUGGAAACGGGUUUGACUAUGUGCCAAGAAUACAGACGAUGCUCUCACUUUGGAUAUACAAGGACAGGCUCAUGGGUCACACGUUCGUAAGCCUUCUUCAAGGUGACUUUUAAAUGCAGAGUGGUUCUCAAAUAAUGGGAGGAAAACUGAACUUUAAAGCUCUUUUGAACUUGGUUUUGUAUAGUGUAUUAUUGACAGUAAUGAAAGUCAACACUUCCUGUAGAAUA